Molecule: long non-coding RNA, 910 nt
Filed under: Manihot esculenta (cassava)
Lineage: Eukaryota; Viridiplantae; Streptophyta; Magnoliopsida; Malpighiales; Euphorbiaceae
Description: long non-coding RNA (MESC_LNC001472)
Source: RNAcentral
GGCAAUUUGACGUGGUAAGAAAGUUGUUGGGUUUGUGUUUUUGGUAAAGUGCAAGUUCAUGGUUUUGCCGGGAUACAUGUCCUUUUCCAUGAAAAAUAGAGCCACGUUUCGGUCAUCAUGAAGUUGAUUUUCGGUGGCAGCAUAAUUGUAGGCGAAUGGGUCUGGCCCUGGUUUUACUCCAACAUAUACAGGCUUUCCCUUGUGUCCAGUGUUAACAGUUACUCCACCUUUGCCAACACUUACAUUUGUUCUCUUCCCAGGCUUUCCAGUGUUAACACCAACGCCUCUACCUCCCACAUUAACAGUAGUACCCGGUUUUCCUUUCCCUGUGUUUACAUUUACUCCACCCUUCCCAACGUUUACAGAAGUGCCGCUGGGUUUUCCUUUUCCUGAAUUAACAUUUACUCCGCCCUUCCCUACAUUGACAGUAGUUCCUCCCGGCUUUCCCUUCCCUGCUUCAACAUUUACCCCUCCCUUCCCUACAAUGACGGAAGUGCCUUUUUGGUCCAUGAAGUCUGCGAUUAGCUACGUUAGUUAGAGGAGCUUAGAAAAGAGACUAGAUUCAUUUUUUCAGCUAGGAGAUUAAUCAACUUCUGUGUUGAUCAAGAUCUUUGAACUCUAUGAAAUGACACAAUUAUUGCUGUUGCUGUAAUCUUGUUGUGCUUGUAACUUGACAGACAUCAUCAUCUUUACAAACAUGUACAUACUUUAUGAAUAUUUAGAAAUUAAAGUGAUAUUCAGUGAGUUAAGUUGACAUCUUCAAGAGACCAAUCCAACGUCUCCAAAUGUUUAUUCUGUAUUGAUUAUGGACUGUGACGCAUACUUGAUAGGAGUUCUGUUUCUGAUGAAACCGAGUAAAGAAUAGUCUGAGAUCUUGAGUACUGACCUGGCUGUAGAAGAUCUUUGACAG